This 420-nucleotide ribosomal RNA is filed under the name uncultured bacterium. Its description in RNAcentral is "bacterial SSU rRNA". It matches the Rfam family "Bacterial small subunit ribosomal RNA", at positions 356 to 773 of the family's 1533-position model. The record is from RNAcentral.
AAGGAAUAUUGGUCAAUGGAGGAAACUCUGAACCAGCCAUCCCGCGUGAAGGAUGAAGGGGCUCUGCCUUGUAAACUUCUUUUGUCUGGGGCGAAAAAGCUCGAUUUAUCGAGAACUGACGGUACCAGAAGAAUAAGCACCGGCUAACUCCGUGCCAGCAGCUGCGGUAAUACGGAGGGUGCAAGCGUUAUCCGGAAUCACUGGGUUUAAAGGGUGCGUAGGCGGCUUAGUAAGUCAGUGGUGAAAGGCUGUGGCUUAACCAUGGAAUUGCCAUUGAUACUGCAGAGCUUGAAUGAGGUUGAGGUUGGCGGAAUGUGACAUGUAGCGGUGAAAUGCUUAGAUAUGUCAUGGAACACCGAUUGCGAAGGCAGCUGACUGGACCUAUAUUGACGCUGAGGCACGAAAGCGUGGGGAGCGAAC